RNAcentral lists this ribosomal RNA (466 nucleotides) under uncultured bacterium. RNAcentral describes it as "partial 16S ribosomal RNA". It matches the Rfam family "Bacterial small subunit ribosomal RNA", at positions 28 to 507 of the family's 1533-position model. The record is from RNAcentral.
GACGAACGCUGGCGGCGCGCCUAACACAUGCAAGUCGAACGAGCGAGAGAGAGCUUGCUUUCUCGAGCGAGUGGCGAACGGGUGAGUAACGCGUGAGGAACCUGCCUCAAAGAGGGGGACAACAGUUGGAAACGACUGCUAAUACCGCAUAAGCCCACGGCUCGGCAUCGAGCAGGGGGAAAAGGAGCAAUCCGCUUUGAGAUGGCCUCGCGUCCGAUUAGCUAGUUGGUGGGGUAACGGCCCACCAAGGCGACGAUCGGUAGCCGGACUGAGAGGUUGAACGGCCACCUUGGGACUGAGACACGGCCCAGACUCCUACGGGAGGCAGCAGUGGGGAAUAUUGCACAAUGGGGGAAACCCUGAUGCAGCGACGCCGCGUGGAGGAAGAAGGUCUUCGGAUUGUAAACUCCUGUUGUUGGGGAAGAUAAUGACGGUACCCAACAAGGAAGUGACGGCUAACUACGUG